Long non-coding RNA from Danaus plexippus (monarch butterfly), 333 nucleotides. RefSeq lists it as uncharacterized. The transcript is spliced from 6 exons. NCBI's taxonomy places the organism in Eukaryota, Metazoa, Arthropoda, Insecta, Lepidoptera, Nymphalidae. The record is from RefSeq and is a predicted model, not a curated record.
UAUUAUUCUCAGGUACAAGAUUGUGAGAGAAUUCAAAUGAUCCUGGUCAUCUUCCAUUAAAAUAUUUCAAACUGAAGAAUCAAAUGAUGGCAAAGUCUUUCAAAUCGAGUAUCCUUUUAUUAAACUGGAAUUCAAACCCAAAAGUUGGAUAAAGAUUCUUGCAGAAAUGAUUACGCCACCCUUCCACAGUGCAGUAUGCAUCAUGUGAAAAGGAUGUCAUAUAUUACGCCACCCUUCCACAGUGCAGUAUGCAUCAUGUGAAAAGGAUGUCAUAUAUUACGCCACCCUCCCACAGUGCAGUAUACACGAAGUGAAUACGACGCCAUAUAAAUA